UACGUAGGGUGCGAGCGUUAAUCGGAUUUACUGGGCGUAAAGCGUGCGCAGGCGGCCCGUUAAGACAGGUGUGAAAUCCCUGGGCUCAACCUAGGAAUUGCGCUUGUGACUGGCGGGCUCGAGUACGGUAGAGGGGGGUGGAAUUCCUGGUGUAGCAGUGAAAUGCGUAGUGAUCAGGAGGAACACCGAUGGCGAAGGCAGCCCCCUGGGCCUGUACUGACGCUCAUGCACGAAAGCGUGGGGAGCAAACAGG
This 253-nucleotide ribosomal RNA is filed under the name uncultured microorganism. RNAcentral describes it as "partial 16S ribosomal RNA". It matches the Rfam family "Bacterial small subunit ribosomal RNA", at positions 524 to 776 of the family's 1533-position model. The record is from RNAcentral.